GAUUAAGUUAUUAAGGGCGCACGGUGGAUGCCUUGGCACUAGAAGCCGAUGAAGGACGUUACUAACGACGAUAUGCUUUGGGGAGCUGUAAGUAAGCUUUGAUCCAGAGAUUUCCGAAUGGGGAAACCCAGCAUGAGUUAUGUCAUGUUAUCGAUAUGUGAAUACAUAGCAUAUCAGAAGGCACACCCGGAGAACUGAAACAUCUUAGUACCCGGAGGAAGAGAAAGAAAAUUCGAUUCCCUUAGUAGCGGCGAGCGAAACGGGAAGAGCCCAAACCAACAAGCUUGCUUGUUGGGGUUGUAGGACACUCUAUACGGAGUUACAAAGGACGACAUUAGACGAAUCAUCUGGAAAGAUGAAUCAAAGAAGGUAAUAAUCCUGUAGUCGAAAAUGUUGUCUCUCUUGAGUGGAUCCUGAGUACGACGGAGCACGUGAAAUUCCGUCGGAAUCUGGGAGGACCAUCUCCUAAGGCUAAAUACUCUCUAGUGACCGAUAGUGAACCAGUACCGUGAGGGAAAGGUGAAAAGCACCCCGGAAGGGGAGUGAAAUAGAACCUGAAACCGUGUGCUUACAAGUAGUCAGAGCCCGUUAAUGGGUGAUGGCGUGCCUUUUGUAGAAUGAACCGGCGAGUUACGAUUUGAUGCAAGGUUAAGCAGUAAAUGCUGUCUCUUAUACACAUCU
Molecule: ribosomal RNA, 681 nt
Filed under: Staphylococcus aureus
Lineage: Bacteria; Bacillati; Bacillota; Bacilli; Caryophanales; Staphylococcaceae
Description: partial 23S ribosomal RNA
Rfam family: Bacterial large subunit ribosomal RNA
Source: RNAcentral